Molecule: transfer RNA, 76 nt
Filed under: Acidocella sp.
Lineage: Bacteria; Pseudomonadati; Pseudomonadota; Alphaproteobacteria; Acetobacterales; Acidocellaceae
Also listed under: 4 other names
Description: tRNA-Glu
Rfam family: tRNA
About the family: Transfer RNA (tRNA) molecules are approximately 80 nucleotides in length. Their secondary structure includes four short double-helical elements and three loops (D, anti-codon, and T loops). Further hydrogen bonds mediate the characteristic L-shaped molecular structure. tRNAs have two regions of fundamental functional importance: the anti-codon, which is responsible for specific mRNA codon recognition, and the 3' end, to which the tRNAs corresponding amino acid is attached (by aminoacyl-tRNA synthetases). tRNAs cope with the degeneracy of the genetic code in two manners: having more than one tRNA (with a specific anti-codon) for a particular amino acid; and 'wobble' base-pairing, i.e. permitting non-standard base-pairing at the 3rd anti-codon position.
Source: RNAcentral
GUCCCGUUCGUCUAGAGGCCUAGGACGCUGCCCUCUCACGGCGGUAACAGGGGUUCGAAUCCCCUACGGGACGCCA